This 497-nucleotide ribosomal RNA is filed under the name uncultured bacterium. RNAcentral's name for it is "partial 16S ribosomal RNA". It matches the Rfam family "Bacterial small subunit ribosomal RNA", at positions 28 to 507 of the family's 1533-position model. The record is from RNAcentral.
GAUGAACGCUGGCGGCGUGCCUAAUACAUGCAAGUCGAGCGCACGGACUUGAAGCUUGCUUCUCUGAUGUUAGCGUCGGACGUGUGAGUAACACGUUGCUAACCUACCUAUAAGCCUGGGUUAACUUCGGGAAACCGGUGCUAAUACCUGAUGAUAUUUUGAACCGCAUGUUUCAAAAUUGAAAGACGUUCUUUCUGUCUCUUAUAGUUGUAUCCUCGCUGCAUUAGCUAGUUGGUAAGGUAACGCCUUACCAAGGCAACGAUGCAUAGCCGACCUGAGAGGAUGAUCGGUAACACGGGAAAGGAGACAAGGAGCAGAAUCGUGAGGGAGGCACCGGUAGGGAAUCUUCGGGAAUGAGCGGAAGGCAGACGGAGAAAAUCGGCGUGAGUGAUGAAGGGCUACGUAGCAUAAAACACGAUUAUUAGGGAAGAAGAUAUGUGUAAAUAUCAGUGCACAUCAUGACAGAACAUAAUCAGAAAGCCCCGGCUAACUACGUG